Biomphalaria pfeifferi is the source of this 747-nucleotide non-coding RNA. The record is from the annotation of a GenBank genome assembly. Lineage: Eukaryota; Metazoa; Mollusca; Gastropoda; Planorbidae.
GACUCUUGGAACAAUUUAUUCAACACAAUUAACACAGCUGUCAAUAAAUAGCAAGUAGAGCAGCUCAUCAAAGCCUCCUAUGUGAAAGAAAACAUCUCCUUCAAGUAGACUGACACAAAAAGGUCCAACAUAGUUUUGUAUAAUAUAUAUAUAGCAUUUAUUUACAUGAAUAAAAUAUAUAAUGGUAGCAUAUUUAAGUUCUUUGCAUGCAAAAAUUCCUUGUUGGAAAUUACUUUUACCUUAAUGACUAUCAACACAAAUUAAAAAAAAAAAAUUAGAGAAAGAUUUUCAAUGGAACAGGUCAAAAAAAAAAAAAAGUACAACUAAAGUUCUCAUGCAUGCACAAAAUAUCACUCUAAAUAUAUACAUUAAAAUAACUUAGGCAUUUUUUUUGUCACCAGAUUUUUAUUUACAUAGUUGAUCUUUAUGAGAGGCAUUAGUAAUGUAUUUUUUGUUUUGUAAUCACAUAUUAAAAAAAUUAGAUUGUGUAUUAUACAACUAGUCUCCCAGCAUGCACUCGAGGUUCAAUGAGAAAGUAAAUCAAAUAUUAACAUCCAUAUCUCCUUCAUGAGCUCAAAAUAAACCAGAUAAUCAUUUCAACUAUUUUUUUUUCAACAAUACUUUAUUUUUUCUUCCACCAAAAAUUGAAGGAUGAAAAUCAAAUGAAAUCUCAAAAGGCCCAUAACCUCUGUAUGAAAAUAUAUCAGUAAUCACUGAUAUAACAAGUAUGUUAUUAUGUCCCUAGCA